UUUAGAGUUUGAUCAUGGCUCAGAUUGAACGCUGGCGGCAGGCUUAACACAUGCAAGUCGAGCGGUAGCAUUUUUAGCUUGCUAAAAGAUGACGAGCGGCGGACGGGUGAGUAACGCGUAGGAAUCUACCCGGUAGUUGGGGAUAGCCCGGAGAAAUCCGGAUUAAUACCGAAUAAUCUCUACGGAGGAAAGGGGGCUUCGGCUCUCGCUACUGGAUGAGCCUGCGUCGGAUUAGCUAGUUGGUGGGGUAAAGGCCUACCAAGGCGACGAUCCGUAGCUGGUCUGAGAGGAUGAUCAGCCACACUGGGACUGAGACACGGCCCAGACUCCUACGGGAGGCAGCAGUGGGGAAUAUUGGACAAUGGGGGCAACCCUGAUCCAGCCAUGCCGCGUGUGUGAAGAAGGCCUUCGGGUUGUAAAGCACUUUCAGUGGGGAGGAAGGGGUGAUGGUUAAUACCCAUCAUCAUGACUCACCCACAGAAGAAGCACCGCA
Molecule: ribosomal RNA, 493 nt
Filed under: Saccharospirillum sp. V3-135
Lineage: Bacteria; Pseudomonadati; Pseudomonadota; Gammaproteobacteria; Oceanospirillales; Saccharospirillaceae
Description: bacterial SSU rRNA
Rfam family: Bacterial small subunit ribosomal RNA
Source: RNAcentral